UCAUGGAGGACCGAACUCAUGAAAGUUGAAAAUUUCUGGGAUGAGCUGUGUGUAGGGGUGAAAGGCCAAUCAAACUCCGUGAUAGCUGGUUCUCCCCGAAAGAUAUUUAGGUAUCGUCUUGGGUAAUUCAAUACUGGAGGUAGAGCACUGGAACGGCUAGGGGUCUCACCAGAUUACCAAACCGUACCAAACUCCGAAUGCCAGUAAUUGUUAGCCCGGGAAGCAGUCAGUGGGUGAUAACGUCCAUUGGCAAGAGGGGAAUAACCCAGACCGACAGCUAAGGCCCCCAAGUCUAGUCUAAGUGAACACUAGAAAGGAUGUGGCAGGUCAUUGACAACCAGGAGGUUGGCUUAGAAGCAGCCAUCCUUUAAAGAAAGCGUAAUAGCUCACUGGUCGAGACAGGCCGCGCCGAAAAUGUAACGGGGCUCAAGACUAGCGCCGAAGCUUCGGAUUGCAUGCGCCUGGCGCAUGCAGUGGUAGGGGAGCGUUGCAACUACGGCGAAGGUGGACCGCAAGGGCCGCUGGAGUGGUUGCGAGUGCUGAUGCCGAAAUGAGUAGCGAUAAAGGGGGUGAGAAACCCCCUCGCCGUAAACCCAAGGUUUCCUGGGUCAAGUUAAUCUUCCCAGGGUUAGCCGGAACCUAAGCCGAGGCCGAAAGGCGUAGGUGAUGGAAAGCAGGUUAAUAUUCCUGCGCCAUCUUGUAGACGUUGAACCGAGGAAGGACGGAGAAAGCUAGACGAGCUGGCCGGUGGUUGUGCCAGUCCAAAGGCGUAGGGGUGUCGCGUACGAUGAAAAGGCGCGGCAGUCAUCCCCGAGACCCCAUGGCGUCCCGCAAGGGAUUAGUCGUUGAUGCUCGGCUUCCAAGAAAAGUUCCGCGGGGAGUCUACAGGGUGUCCGUACCGCAAACCGACACAGGUGGGUGAGGAGAAAAUCCUAAGGCGCUUGAGAGAACUCUCCUCCAAGGAACUAGGCAAAUUUCCACCGUAACUUCGGAAGAAGGUGGGCCUCUGGUAGGUGUAGGCGUACAGCUGAAGCCGAGAGAGGUUGCAGAGAAAUGGCGGUAGCGACUGUUUACCAAAAACACAGGACUCUGCGAAGGCAAGAAGCCGACGUAUAGGGUCUGACUCCUGCCCGGUGCUGGAAGGUUAAGGGGAUUCGUCAGCCGCAAGGCGAAGCGAUGAUCCGAAGCCCCAGUAAACGGCGGCCGUAACUAUAACGGUCCUAAGGUAGCGAAAUUCCUUGUCGGGUAAGUUCCGACCUGCACGAAUGGAGUAACGACUUCCGCACUGUCUCGGAGAGGGACUCAGCGAAAUUGAAAUAGCUGUGCCGAUGCAGUUUACCCGCAGCAAGACGGAAAGACCCCGUGAACCUUUACUACAACUUGACAGUGACACUAGGGUUCGACUGUGUAGGAUAGGUGGGAGCCUUUGAAGCCGGGCCGCUAGGUUCGGUGGAGGCAACGGUGAAAUACCACCCUGUCGGAUUCUGGUGUCUAACCAUGCUCCUUAAGCGGGAGUUGGGACACUGUCUGGUGGGUAGUUUGACUGGGGCGGUCGCCUCCCAAAACGUAACGGAGGCGCGCGAUGGUUCCCUCAGCCCGAUUGGAAACCGGGCGUCGAGUGCAAUGGCAUAAGGGAGCUUGACUGCGAGACCGACAGGUCGAGCAGGUGCGAAAGCAGGUCAUAGUGAUCCGGUGGUCCUGAAUGGAAGGGCCAUCGCUCAACGGAUAAAAGGUACUCCGGGGAUAACAGGCUUAUCUCCCCCAAGAGUUCACAUCGACGGGGAGGUUUGGCACCUCGAUGUCGGCUCAUCGCAUCCUGGGGCUGGAGCAGGUCCCAAGGGUUUGGCUGUUCGCCAAUUAAAGCGGUACGCGAGCUGGGUUCAAAACGUCGUGAGACAGUUUGGUCCCUAUCUGCUGUGGGCGUAGGAUACUUGAGAGGCUCUGACCUUAGUACGAGAGGACCGGGUUGGAGACACCGCUGGUGUACCAGUUGUCUCGCCAGAGGCAUCGCUGGGUAGCCAUGUGUCGAUUGGAUAACCGCUGAAAGCAUCUAAGCGGGAAACCGACCUCAAGAACAGGUAUCCCGGGCGCAAGCCCCUGAAGACCCGUCGAAGACUACGACGUUGAUAGGCCGGGUGUGUAAGCGCGGUAACGCGUUGAGCUAACCGGUACUAAUUGGUCGUGCGGCUUACUGACCUCAAUCUCU
Molecule: ribosomal RNA, 2206 nt
Filed under: Archangium sp. Cb G35
Lineage: Bacteria; Pseudomonadati; Myxococcota; Myxococcia; Myxococcales; Archangiaceae
Description: bacterial LSU rRNA
Rfam family: Bacterial large subunit ribosomal RNA
Source: RNAcentral